Long non-coding RNA from Xenopus laevis (African clawed frog), 286 nucleotides. RefSeq lists it as uncharacterized. Lineage: Eukaryota; Metazoa; Chordata; Amphibia; Anura; Pipidae. The record is from RefSeq and is a predicted model, not a curated record. The transcript has 2 exons.
GAAUGCCAGAUGUCAGUUCAGCCUUAUGUGGAACAAAUUCUUGUCUAAAAUCCCUCCCUGACCCAAAAACAACUAAUUAAAUGUACCAUAUGGUGUUCGCGUGAUUGCCUAGGGACCCCAUGACAGUGGAUCAAAAGUUAAACAGAUUACGCAGAAGUAAAUUGACAAAGAGGUCUUGUACAAAUCUAUAUAUGCUGUGGGCUUGAAUUCAGGAAUGUGAGUCAUUUUACUCAACGGAAUUUCAACUAUUUCACGCAGUAUAAAAUAAAUCAAAUACUAAACAGUU